GUGCAUUAUUAAAAUCAAAUUUGCGUGGGGACCCGGUGUGCAAUGGCUGCAAACAGCAGCUUCCUUGGUAGUGUACGCAGCCUGUUUCUUGUAUAGGUUGCUCUAGGGGACCUUGGAGACAGCC
Molecule: small nucleolar RNA, 124 nt
Filed under: Carlito syrichta (Philippine tarsier)
Lineage: Eukaryota; Metazoa; Chordata; Mammalia; Primates; Tarsiidae
Description: Small nucleolar RNA SNORA70 (ENSTSYG00000031302.1)
Rfam family: Small nucleolar RNA SNORA70
About the family: snoRNA U70 seems to be exclusive to mammals and is a member of the H/ACA class of snoRNA which contain H (ANANNA) and ACA box motifs.
Source: Rfam by way of RNAcentral